This 488-nucleotide ribosomal RNA is filed under the name uncultured bacterium. RNAcentral describes it as "bacterial SSU rRNA". It matches the Rfam family "Bacterial small subunit ribosomal RNA", at positions 28 to 509 of the family's 1533-position model. The record is from RNAcentral.
GACGAACGCUGGCGGCGUGGAUUAGGCAUGCAAGUCGAACGGUAGGAUACCUUCGGGUAUCUGAGAGUGGCGAACGGGUGAGUAACACGUAGGUGAUCUACCCUCAAGAUUGGGACAACCCAGGGAAACUUGGGCUAAUACCGGAUGAAAGCAGCAGUGAUGUUGUUUGAAAGGUGCGUAAGCUGCCGUUUGGGGAUGAGCCUGCGCUCUAUUAGUUAGUUGGCGGGGUAAAGGCCCACCAAGGCGAUGAUAGAUAGGCGGCCUUAACGGGUGGUCGCCCACACUGGGAUUGAGAUACGGCCCAGACUCCUACGGGAGCAGCAGUCGAGAAUAGUCUACAAUGGCCGAAAGGCUGAUAGUGCGACGCCGCGUGAACGAAGAAGCCCUUCGGGGUGUAAAGUUCUUUUAUAUGUGAGCAGUGCUUUCUAUGUGAACAGCAUGGGGAAGAGAUAUUAGCAUAUAGAAUAAGCAACGGCUAACUCCGUGCC